This 51-nucleotide transfer RNA is filed under the name Boodlea composita. Its description in RNAcentral is "tRNA-Phe". The record is from RNAcentral. Lineage: Eukaryota; Viridiplantae; Chlorophyta; Ulvophyceae; Cladophorales; Boodleaceae.
UUGGACGCAGCGGCAUACACCUUGUUGAAGACGUGGUGACUGGCGCCCAAA